UGCAGUCGAGCGAACAGACGAGGAGCUUGCUCCUCUGACGUUAGCGGCGGACGGGUGAGUAACACGUGGAUAACCUACCUAUAAGACUGGGAUAACUUCGGGAAACCGGAGCUAAUACCGGAUAAUAUAUUGAACCGCAUGGUUCAAUAGUGAAAGACGGUUUUGCUGUCACUUAUAGAUGGAUCCGCGCCGCAUUAGCUAGUUGGUAAGGUAACGGCUUACCAAGGCAACGAUGCGUAGCCGACCUGAGAGGGUGAUCGGCCACACUGGAACUGAGACACGGUCCAGACUCCUACGGGAGGCAGCAGUAGGGAAUCUUCCGCAAUGGGCGAAAGCCUGACGGAGCAACGCCGCGUGAGUGAUGAAGGUCUUCGGAUCGUAAAACUCUGUUAUUAGGGAAGAACAAAUGUGUAAGUAACUAUGCACGUCUUGACGGUACCUAAUCAGAAAGCCACGGCUAACUACGUGCCAGCAGCCGCCGGGUAAUAA
RNAcentral lists this ribosomal RNA (489 nucleotides) under Staphylococcus epidermidis. RNAcentral describes it as "bacterial SSU rRNA". It matches the Rfam family "Bacterial small subunit ribosomal RNA", at positions 56 to 526 of the family's 1533-position model. Lineage: Bacteria; Bacillati; Bacillota; Bacilli; Caryophanales; Staphylococcaceae. The record is from RNAcentral.